AGUGAACGCUGGCGGCGUGCCUAAUACAUGCAAGUCGAACGGAGAUUAAGUAGCUUGCUAUUUAAUCUUAGUGGCGCACGGGUGAGUAAUAUAUAGCUAACUUGCCCAUUACUAAGGGACAACAGUUGGAAACGACUGCUAAUACCUUAUACUCCGUAUCUAUAUAAGUAGAUACGGGAAAGUUUUUCGGUAAUGGAUAGGGCUAUAUCGUAUCAGCUAGUUGGUAAGGUAAUGGCUUACCAAGGCUAUGGCGCGUAACUGGUCUGAGAGGAUGAUCAGUCACACUGGAACUGAGACACGGUCCAGACUCCUACGGGAGGCAGCAGUAGGGAAUAUUGCUCAAUGGGGGAAACCCUGAAGCAGCAACGCCGCGUGGAGGAUGACACUUUUCGGAGCGUAAACUCCUUUUCUUGGGAAAGAAUUAUGACGGUACCCAAGGAAUAAGCACCGGCUAACUCCGUG
RNAcentral lists this ribosomal RNA (462 nucleotides) under uncultured bacterium. RNAcentral describes it as "partial 16S ribosomal RNA". It matches the Rfam family "Bacterial small subunit ribosomal RNA", at positions 29 to 507 of the family's 1533-position model. The record is from RNAcentral.